UACAGAGGGGGCAAGCGUUGUUCGGAAUUACUGGGCGUAAAGGGCGCGUAGGCGGCCUGCUAAGUCGAACGUGAAAUCCCCGGGCUCAACCCGGGAACUGCGUCCGAUACUGGCAGGCUUGAAUCCGGGAGAGGGAUGUGGAAUUCCUGGUGUAGCGGUGAAAUGCGUAGAUAUCAGGAGGAACACCUGUGGUGUAGACGGCUCUCUGGACCGCAACUGACGCUGAGACACGAAAGCGUGGGUAGCAAACAGG
Molecule: ribosomal RNA, 253 nt
Filed under: uncultured bacterium
Lineage: Bacteria
Description: partial 16S ribosomal RNA
Rfam family: Bacterial small subunit ribosomal RNA
Source: RNAcentral